RNAcentral lists this ribosomal RNA (253 nucleotides) under uncultured bacterium. RNAcentral's name for it is "partial 16S ribosomal RNA". It matches the Rfam family "Bacterial small subunit ribosomal RNA", at positions 524 to 776 of the family's 1533-position model. The record is from RNAcentral.
UACGGAGGGGGCAAGCGUUGUCCGGAAUCAUUGGGCGUAAAGAGCGUGUAGGCGGCCAGAUAAGUCCGCUGUGAAAUCUCGAGGCUCAACUUCGAGCUGUCGGUGGAAACUGUCUGGCUAGAGUCCGGAAGAGGAGAAUGGAAUUCCUGAUGUAGCGGUGAAAUGCGCAGAUAUCAGGAAGAACACCCGUGGCGAAGGCGGUUCUCUGGGACGGUACUGACGCUGAGACGCGAAAGCGUGGGGAGCGAACAGG